UGGGGAAUCUUGCACAAUGGGGGAAACCCUAAUGCAGCGACGCCGCGUGAACGAUGAAGCCCUUCGGGGUGUAAAGUUCUUUCGACAGGAACGAUAAUGACGGUACCUGGAGAAGAAGCUGCGGCUAACUACGUGCCAGCAGCCGCGGUAAUACGUAGGCAGCGAGCGUUGUUCGGAGUUACUGGGCGUAAAGAGUGCGUAGGCGGCGAGCCAAGUUUGGUGUGAAAUCUCCCAGCUUAACCGGGAGGGUGCGCCGAAAACUGGUUGGCUGGAGUAUGGGAGAGGAAAGCGGAAUUCCUGGUGUAGCGGUGAAAUGCGUAGAUAUCAGGAGGAACACCUGCGGUGUAGACAGCUUUCUGGACCAAAACUGACGCUGAGGCACGAAAGCGUGGGUAGCAAACA
RNAcentral lists this ribosomal RNA (402 nucleotides) under uncultured bacterium. RNAcentral describes it as "bacterial SSU rRNA". It matches the Rfam family "Bacterial small subunit ribosomal RNA", at positions 355 to 774 of the family's 1533-position model. The record is from RNAcentral.